RNAcentral lists this microRNA precursor (94 nucleotides) under Pelodiscus sinensis (Chinese soft-shelled turtle). RNAcentral's name for it is "miRNA (ENSPSIG00000020014.1)". Lineage: Eukaryota; Metazoa; Chordata; Testudines; Trionychidae. The record is from RNAcentral.
UGUGUGUGUGUGUGUGUAGUACAAAAGCAUGUGCCAAAUUGUUUAUAUAAUUACACACACACACACACACACACACACACACACACACACACAC